UGAGUGAGUAGCAGCACUCGGUUGGCAACGUCGUGGAGUGGAGGGUAGAAAUGGCUGGAAAUUUGUAGAGAAAAGGAAUUGUAAAGAGAGUUUUACGUUUGAAGAAUGAGUGAGAGAGACAUCACAGCAUUGAAUAGCCAGCUAUGGAGCGCAGCGAGGAGCAAGUCACGUGAUGAGGUUGAACGUCUUUUGGAUCAAGGCGCUGAAGUAGAUGCGUGUGAUAUAAUUGGAUGGACUGUACUGAUGGAAGCUUGUAUUGAU
Molecule: long non-coding RNA, 261 nt
Organism: Corticium candelabrum
Lineage: Eukaryota; Metazoa; Porifera; Homoscleromorpha; Homosclerophorida; Plakinidae
Exons: 3
Source: RefSeq, a predicted model, not a curated record